UACGUAGGGGGCGAGCGUUGUCCGGAGUUACUGGGCGCAAAGCGCACGCAGGCGGUCUGCUAAGUUUGGAGUGACAGUUGGUGGCUUAACUGCCAAAGUGCUUCGAAAACUGACAGACUUGAGGGCUUCAGAGGGACACGGAAUUCCGGGUGGAGUGGUGAAAUGCGUAGAGAUCCGGAGGAACACCAAAGGCGAAGGCAGUGUCCUGGGGAGUACCUGACGCUCAGGUGCGAAGGCCAGGGGAGCGAACGGG
Molecule: ribosomal RNA, 253 nt
Filed under: uncultured bacterium
Lineage: Bacteria
Description: partial 16S ribosomal RNA
Rfam family: Bacterial small subunit ribosomal RNA
Source: RNAcentral